UAAAAAGAAAUUUUGCAACCUAAAUAAGGAACAGCAUUGUCUGACUUACUUGAGCAAAUAUUGGUGGUCCAGAUUAAGACAUAUUUUUAAAACUUUAAAAAGUGUUGAUUAUUAAAACUGUAGUAAAUUACAUUUCAUUUUGGGGGGAGAAUUCCAAGUAUGGUGUUUGUAUUAAAGUCAGACAGUCAUUCUUAUGCUUUUACAUGAAGUUUAAAUGAUAUACAUUGUAAAUAUUGAAUACAGUGUUUAAAAAGCAUGCUUCAACAUAGAAGUAGCAGCAAUGUAAUUAUUUGAAGUAACACUUAACACUCCACUGCAUUGAAUGCAGUGGAUGAAUAAGAAUGUUUAAGACUGACAUUUCCAAGGUUGGCUACUAUGUAAAAUUAAAAUUAUACAAAUUACUAUACAGAAAAAGCCUUAAUUUUAAUUUCAUACAAAUCUUUGAUGCAUUAUUAGUACAUUUUAAAAUGUCAUUGGAAAUUAGAUUUCUUUUUUUUUUUCCUUUUUUUGCUUUACAUCAUUUGGUAUGUAAAUACCUUGAUUAAAACCUUGUAAACCUAUUUCAAGGUUCCUGUAAGUUGUAUAGUACAGUGUUUUUAAAAAAUCUUGGGGUGUUUUUUAAAAUUAGAUAUAUUUUGCCCGAGAAUUUUUUUAACAAGAUUGCUAAAACAUCUUAUUUAGACAGUUUGAUGUACCAAUUUAUAAUUGGAUAUUCAACUUAAAUAGUAUACAGAGUUGUAACUUUUAUUUUAAUUAAUUUUUUCCUUGUGGGUGAUGUGCAUGGGAUGACAAACCUGAACAGAGGCUGUGAGUUGUAUGAGUGCAGAGUUUGUAAAUGAAUUGAUUGGGUAAGAUUGACAUUUGCUUCUGAGGUAUUUUUCAGGCCAUGUGCAUAAAUUUCUAUCAUAGCAGGAAUGUAAAAGAGAUAAAAAUCCUUUGUUUUUGAGUUCUGACAGCUAGGGGGUGCAAAUGUUUAGGCAGCGUAUUUGAAAUGUUCUGAGGUCUGGGCACCAAAAUGAGAAAACUCUUUACAGUUAAGUAAUAAGAUUCAGCUAGCACCCACAGAUUACUGUUUUUUAAACUUUUGACGUCUUACAGUUAGCUUUAAAAUAAUGAUGGUUUUAUAAAUUGAUCUCCACAAUAAUUUUGGUAUUUUCCUUCUUCCCCCAUUUAGAAAUGUGUUGAACAUGAAAAUUUACAGGGUCUGAAGUUGUUCAUCUUCGGGCCAAAUUUUUUAUGGCACUUUAGUUUUAACCACAGUCCUCAUCUAUUACACUCUUCUGUUAUAAAAUUUACCAUUAUUUCUUUUGUUCAUGGUUAGUGUCUUUGGGGGAUGUUAUGGAAAAGUUACUUUAUAUUUUAUAAGGAGAACACUCAAAUUAAUUAUACCUCCUAGUUAAAAUUUCUUAAAUAUAUGUGAAACUUGAACUAAAGAUUUUUUUAUAUAUAUAUUGAGAAAAGCCUAUUAAAGUUUCAAUUUACCUUUUUUGGUCUGCCAGUAAAUUAAGUAGCUAAAUACAGUACCAGCUAAAUAUAGCUGCUUGUAUAUUCUAUGAUUUAAUAAAGUGAUGCAGACUAGUUAUAUUGCAUAGUAAACAUACGACUGAAGUGUCCUUCAUCUUAUCUGAAAGAACAAGAUUACAUGCUCAGUUCAAUUAAUGGAAGUUUUUUCAUUUUAAAUGGUUUUUAAAAAAUAAAGCUACUUACCCAGAUGAAAUGCACCGUUUUAAAAUACAACUGUCAAGCUAUUCAAGACUAUUUUAUAACACAAAGUGAAGUCAGUGCUAUCUUGAUCCAGUUUAAGCCUAAGAAUCAUUGCAUUUUCCAUGUUCAUUAAAAACAGCAGCAGAGAUUUUCGGCAGGCAAGAAAAUGUUUAUUUCAUAAUCACUCUGAGAUUCAUUUUGGUGAUGUGUUUCUGACUGCCAUCUUCUUUGCUCUCAUCUCUCUACUAGUAUUUCCCCCCGUGCCAUUACCACUUGAUUUUUAUGUCUGCUGGCAGUGAGAGGCUAAAAUGACUGGCCAACGUAAGCCAAAGCUGUAAACAACAGUUGAAGUAAGUCUUUCAAUAAAGACUAGACUAUAUGAUAAGUGGCUUUUUCUUAUUGUCGUUCAUUACAUAAUUAUUCCUUGCAGCCUGCCAUAAGUAAUUCCAUUUUCUUUUAAGUUCUUAGUAAGGUAUAUGGAGUAUACAUACAUUUCAGGACCUAUUUCUGUGUUCUCUAUAAGUGAUAAAAGUCUGUUUGCUUUUGUUGGAUUAAAAUUUAAUUUCUGGGCUUCCCUGGUGGCACAGUGGUUGGGAGUCCACCUGCCGAUGCAGGGGACACGGGUUCGUGCCCCGGUCCGGGAAGAUCCCACAUGCCGCGGAGCGGCUGGGCCCGUGAGCCAUGGCCCCUGAGCCUGCGCAUCUGGAGCCUGUGCUCCGCAACGGGAGAGGCCACAGCAGUGAGAGGCCCAUGUACCGCAAAAAAAAACAUAAGUAAAUAAAAUAAAAUAAAAUUUAAUGUCUGAGUAUGGAGGAGUAGAAAUUUGCAUCCUUAAAAAUGUAUGCUCUUGAAUAUUAAUAUUGUAAAAUCUCAUUAGAGACCACAAAUAAUGGGAACCAUAAUUUUACCGUUUCUAGAUUGAUCUUUGGUAGUACCUAUGAGUAAAGAUUGCACUCGACAAACAGAAAAAGUAGAAAAAGAAUUUAAUAAAUUAUCUAGACACCUUUCUAGCAGGUAUACCCAAAUUAUCUCUUACCUAUUCAUUGAAAAUCAGCAUUUGGGCUUCCACUUAAUACGUUAUAAACAUUGAAUUUGCAGUUUUAGUAGGUAUUGGAAAGAUGCAAAAAUGUUUUAGGCUUUUAUUAUUAUAUAAGCCUUCUUAAGAGGUCCAAAGGAGUGGGUUUAAGUUCAGAUAAACUAGAAACUGUAAUUCACAACAUACUUUGUAUAAGUAUCUCUUUUAGGGGCGAGAAUAACUUGAUUUUAGAAUUGCCCGAAUGUGAAUAGAGGAGGGGGAAUUAUAUGUAGUCGUUUAUCUUAGACAAAAACGUGGGGCGGGGGGUGCUAAUACUCAUGGACCCUUUUGUUGAAUUAGGGUUUUGUUCAAGGGAAGAGAAGAUUAAUUCAUAUGACGUUCAUAGUUUGGCUUUUGAACAGUGUCAAUUAGAGUAACAGUUGACAAAAUGUAUGUAUCUAGUAAAUGAUUUCCUUAGUGUUCCAACCUAGGUCUAAUACAUAAUGCUGAAUUUUCACUUUUCCAGAUUGUUGCAUUUUUCAAAAUUGAAUAACCAUUGUUGCUCUGAGAUAUUCCUCUGACAAAGUGAUCCACAUCUAAUAUAUUGAAGUCAGCUUGGAAAGUUUGCCAAACGUGACAAAAACCAAAGUGCUGUUGGAUAGCUGUCAGAGGAAAGCCAGGAUAAUUUUACAUUGAAAAGUAAUCUCUUGGGGUGGAGCUGUCCACUUGUCGAUCUUGCAGCUGGGCUUAGCUUGCCUGUGGACCUCCUGUUUUGACUGUGUGUGUCGUUCUUGUGAACUGACAAGAGUUUGCAAACAGUGUGGUUAUCAGGUGGUGCAGCAGAAUUGUAUUUUUGAGGUAAGCCAGGUUUUGCUAUAUAUAUGUCCGGUGGAUAUCAUAACUUGCCCACCCGCAAUUUUUUUUUUUCUCCUGUUCCUGUAUCCUUCUUCCUUGGGUUUUGGUAUACCAAUGAAGAGAGGUCCAAAACCAUCUGGACAAAAUGGGCGUGAAAUAUGCAGCCAUAUGCAACUGUGCCUGUUAUGAAAAUUGAUACUAAUAUUGCAUAAAUUUCAAAUUUUCACAGUUCAUUUUACUGGUUAAAAGUUGUGAGUUGAGGGCUUCCCUGGUGGUGCAGUGGUUGAGAGUCCGCCUGCCGAUGCAGGAGAUGUGGGUUCGUGCCCCAGUCUGGGAAGAUCCCACAUGCCGCGGAGCGGCUGGGACCGUGAGCCAUGGCCGCUGAGCCUGUGCGUCUGGAGCCUGUGCUCCGCAACGGGAAAGGCCACAACAGUGAGAGGCCUGCGUACCACAAAAAAAAAAAAAAGUUGUGAGUUGAAUUGUUCCAUAUGUGGUUUAUAUGAUUGCUUUUGCUCACAAAAAUAAAGCCAAUUCUUAAAUCUUAACAUAGCUAAACAAAAUAGGUACAGUAAUUUUAGUUAGCUUCUUUUUUUUGAAAAGGACUAAACUUGGAAGAACAUUUUUAACUUCCUUUGGCUAGGUUAUAUUUUAGCAUAUUGCCCAGCUCAUCCUUGGUUAUCUGUUUAACGAGAUUGGGAAAGGAGUGGUGACUAGGGUAAUGAAGAAGGGAGAAGUCCUUGAUUCUGAAGAGCAUUGACAUGGGAAUAGAGAGUCUUGGGCAAGUGUAGUAAACCAUGCAUGAUAAUCAGAAUUUGGGUGCAGAUAUCUAAUGUGUUAGCUCAAACUGCACAUUUUGUCAGGAAGGCUAGGAGAUUUUACCAGGUUAUUGAAAAAGUAUUACCAACAUCUUGGUGUCAUUUACUGGCCCUGAUCAUUUCUUUUCAUUUUCCUUUAAUGUGUGUUUUAUUUUUGUAUCUGUGUGUGUAUUAGAAUGUUGGGCACAUGCUGCUGUUUUUAAAAUACUGCCUUUGAGCAUUUUCAGUAAAAUGAUGGGAUUACAAUAUCCUUCAAAAGCCACAUUUAGUUUAUUAUAACCAGGAAUCUUUUAUUUUUAAAAACGGAUAACUUCAUUCCCAGGUUGCUUCACUAUUUUUCUGUCUUUGGUUAUGUCAGUUUUCCUCCAUUAGAAUGUAAGCUCCAUGGGGGCAGGACCUUCUAGUAACUACACAAACCCUAGGACUUACAUAAGAAUACUUGGCACAUGGUACAUACUCAGUAAAUGUUUAAUGCAUGAACAUGAUUGAGGAAGUAAAAGUAAAUGAAUAUUUUAGUCUCCCUCUUAGAACCAGAAUACCACUUGGUGUUCUACUUGACUAGAACUUGAUCAGAAUGAACUGAGUGCUUGUUAAAAUGCAGAUUCUGAGGCUCCACAGUUGUGGGUGAAUGUAAUCUGAAAUAAAAUUCAUUGGCAUGGUUUC
RNAcentral lists this long non-coding RNA (5052 nucleotides) under Phocoena sinus (vaquita). RNAcentral describes it as "lncRNA (ENSPSNG00000022082.1)". The record is from RNAcentral. Lineage: Eukaryota; Metazoa; Chordata; Mammalia; Artiodactyla; Phocoenidae.